This 164-nucleotide ribosomal RNA is filed under the name uncultured bacterium. RNAcentral describes it as "partial 16S rRNA". It matches the Rfam family "Bacterial small subunit ribosomal RNA", at positions 355 to 511 of the family's 1533-position model. The record is from RNAcentral.
UAGGGAAUCUCCCACAAUGGACGCAAGUCUGAUGGAGCAACGCCGCGUGAGUGAAGAAGGGUUUCGGCUCGUAAAGCUCUGUUGUUAAAGAAGAACGUGGGUAAGAGUAACUGUUUACCCAGUGACGGUAUUUAACCAGAAAGCCACGGCUAACUACGUGCCAG